CUGGUGCUUGGCCUUAAGCAAGCCCGGCCUAUCCCCUGUAGGGGGUGGGUGAGGGGUGAGGUUGAGAAAGAAGAGAGGGGGAAUUGGGGUGGUUGAGGGGGUUAUAAUUUCUUUAAAAAGAGUGGAGGGGAGAGGCCAUGGCCGUCCCAGCCAAGAAGAGGAAGAUGAACUUCUCCGAGCGGGAGGUGGAGAUCAUCGUGGAGGAGCUGGAGCUCAAGAAGCACCUGCUGGUGAACCACUUCAAUGCCGGGGUCCCGUUGGCCGCCAAGAGCGCAGCCUGGCACGGCAUCCUGAGAAGGGUCAACGCCGUGGCCACCUGCCGCAGGGAGCUGCCUGAGGUCAAGAAGAAGUGGUCUGACCUCAAGACUGAGGUCCGUCGCAAGGUUGCCCAGGUCCGGGCCGCCGUGGAGGGUGGCGAGGCGCCGGGGCCCACUGAGGAGGAUGGAGCUGGUGGGCCUGGGACAGGCGGUGGCAGUGGUGGCAGUGGCCCAGCUGUAGCCCCUGUACUGCUGACCCCCAUGCAACAACGCAUCUGCAACCUGCUGGGCGAGGCCACCAUCAUCAGCCUGCCCAGUACCACAGAGAUCCACCCCGUGGCCCUUGGACCCACGGCCACUGCAGCCGCAGCCACGGUCACCCUGACACAAAUCCCCACUGAGACAGCCUAUCACACGCUGGAGGAGGGAGUGGUGGAGUACUGCACGGCCGAGGCCCCCCCGCCCCUGCCGGCCGAGGCCCCCGUGGAGAUGAUGGCCCAGCACACAGACGCAUCCGUCAAGCCGCAGGCACUCAAGAGCCGUAUUGCCCUCAACUCUGCCAAGCUGAUACAGGAGCAGCGGGUCACCAACCUGCAUGUGAAGGAGAUUGCCCAGCACCUGGAGCAGCAGAACGACCUCCUGCAGAUGAUCCGCCGCUCCCAGGAGGUACAGGCCUGUGCCCAGGAGCGCCAGGCCCAGGCCAUGGAGGGUACCCAGGCGGCCUUGAGUGUCCUCAUCCAGGUCCUGCGGCCCAUGAUCAAAGAUUUCCGCCGCUACCUGCAGAGCAACACACCCACCCCAGCUCCUGCCUCUGAGCCUGGACAGGUGGCCCAGAACGGGCAGCCGGACAGCAUCAUCCAGUGAGGGCAGGGAUGGAGUUAACCUUCUGCCGUGAUUGGACGAAACCUCCGCGGUCUUACUCACCAUUGACCACUGAGACACUUGCAUCUCCCCAGAUCGUUUCCCAAGUUCGCUGUUUUGCUGCCGGUGCCUUGGCCACACGUGACCGAUGGUUACAACUUGAGGCUCCAGAUCUCAGCUAGACAAGUGAAGAUGCUGCCCUUCUCGGCACGAAUGUUUAGGCUUCCUCAGCUCUGCUAUUGCGAUCACAGGAAGAUGCCCCAAAGACGGUUGAGAGGUGACUGCCGUACAUUUGACCUCUCUGCGGAGGCACACGCGCAGUGCCAGCACCAGGGGCAUGGAGAGGGACCAG
Propithecus coquereli (Coquerel's sifaka) is the source of this 1470-nucleotide RNA transcript. It is a transcript of the gene named nuclear apoptosis inducing factor 1, with no coding region annotated. Lineage: Eukaryota; Metazoa; Chordata; Mammalia; Primates; Indriidae. The record is from RefSeq and is a predicted model, not a curated record. The transcript is spliced from 3 exons.